GACAGAGGAUGCAAGCGUUAUCCGGAAUGAUUGGGCGUAAAGCGUGCGUAGGCGGUGUCUUAAGUUUGUUGUGAAAUCUCCCGGCUUAACCGGGAGGGUGCGGCGAAUACUGAGAUGCUGGAGUGCCGGAGAGGUAAGCGGAAUUCCUGGUGUAGCGGUGAAAUGCGUAGAUAUCAGGAGGAACACCUGCGGUGUAGACGGCUUACUGGACGGUAACUGACGCUGAGGCACGAAAGCGUGGGUAGCAAACAGG
This 253-nucleotide ribosomal RNA is filed under the name uncultured bacterium. Its description in RNAcentral is "partial 16S ribosomal RNA". It matches the Rfam family "Bacterial small subunit ribosomal RNA", at positions 524 to 776 of the family's 1533-position model. The record is from RNAcentral.